RNAcentral lists this ribosomal RNA (301 nucleotides) under uncultured bacterium. RNAcentral describes it as "partial 16S ribosomal RNA". It matches the Rfam family "Bacterial small subunit ribosomal RNA", at positions 509 to 807 of the family's 1533-position model. The record is from RNAcentral.
CAGUAGCCACGGUAAUACGGAGGAUCCAAGCGUUAUCCGGAAUCAUUGGGUUUAAAGGGUCCGUAGGCGGUCUUGUAAGUCAGUGGUGAAAGCCCAUCGCUCAACGGUGGAACGGCCAUUGAUACUGCAGGACUUGAAUUAUUGGGAAGUAACUAGAAUAUGUAGUGUAGCGGUGAAAUGCUUAGAGAUUACAUGGAAUACCAAUUGCGAAGGCAGGUUACUACCAAUUGAUUGACGCUGAUGGACGAAAGCGUGGGUAGCGAACAGGAUUAGAUACCCGCGUAGUUCCUGUCUCUUAUAC